GGGUAUAAAGCUCAGUGGUAGAGCACACGUGCUUAGCAUGCACGAGGACCUGGGUUCAAUCCCCAAUCCCUCCA
RNAcentral lists this transfer RNA (74 nucleotides) under Camelus ferus (Wild Bactrian camel). It matches the Rfam family "tRNA". From Rfam's summary of the family: Transfer RNA (tRNA) molecules are approximately 80 nucleotides in length. Their secondary structure includes four short double-helical elements and three loops (D, anti-codon, and T loops). Lineage: Eukaryota; Metazoa; Chordata; Mammalia; Artiodactyla; Camelidae. The record is from Rfam by way of RNAcentral.